GAUGAACGCUGGCGGCGUGCCUAAUACAUGCAAGUCGAGCGAACAGAUGAGAAGCUUGCUUCUCUGAUGUUAGCGGCGGACGGGUGAGUAACACGUGGGUAACCUACCUAUAAGACUGGGAUAACUCCGGGAAACCGGGGCUAAUACUGGAUAAUAUUUUGAACCGCAUGGUUCAAUAGUGAAAGACGGUUUCGGCUGUCACUUAUAGAUGGACCCGCGCCGUAUUAGCUAGUUGGUAAGGUAACGGCUUACCAAGGCGACGAUACGUAGCCGACCUGAGAGGGUGAUCGGCCACACUGGAACUGAGACACGGUCCAGACUCCUACGGGAGGCAGCAGUAGGGAAUCUUCCGCAAUGGGCGAAAGCCUGACGGAGCAACGCCGCGUGAGUGAUGAAGGUCUUCGGAUUGUAAAACUCUGUUGUUAGGGAAGAACAAAUUUGUUAGUAACUGAACAAGUCUUGACGGUACCUAACCAGAAAGCCACGGCUAACUACGUGCCAGCCGCCGCGGUAA
This 514-nucleotide ribosomal RNA is filed under the name uncultured bacterium. RNAcentral describes it as "partial 16S ribosomal RNA". It matches the Rfam family "Bacterial small subunit ribosomal RNA", at positions 28 to 523 of the family's 1533-position model. The record is from RNAcentral.